AACGAGCGCACCCUCGUUUUUAGUUGCCAUCAUUAAGUUGGGCACUCUAGAGAGACUGCCGGUGACAAACCGGAGGAAGGUGGGGAUGACGUCAAGUCAUCAUGCCCCUUACGCCUUGGGCUACACACGUACUACAAUGGCCGGGACAAAGAGUCGCAAGCAUGCGAAUGCAAGCUAAUCUCAUAAACCCGGUCUUAGUUCAGAUUGCAGGCUGCAACUCGCCUGCAUGAAGGCGGAAUCGCUAGUAAUCGCAGGUCAGCAUACUGCGGUGAAUACGUUCCCGGGCCUUGUACACACCGCCCGUCACACCAUGGAAGCUGGUCACGCCCGAAGUCGUUAUCUCAACCCGCAAGGGAGGGAGGCGCCUAAGGCAGGGCUGGUGACUGGGGUGAAGUCGUAACAAGGUAGCCGUACCGGAAGGUGCGGCUGGAUCACCUCCUUA
This 442-nucleotide ribosomal RNA is filed under the name Pseudanabaena sp. CCY9701. RNAcentral describes it as "bacterial SSU rRNA". It matches the Rfam family "Bacterial small subunit ribosomal RNA", at positions 1091 to 1533 of the family's 1533-position model. Lineage: Bacteria; Bacillati; Cyanobacteriota; Cyanophyceae; Pseudanabaenales; Pseudanabaenaceae. The record is from RNAcentral.